This is a long non-coding RNA of Artibeus jamaicensis (Jamaican fruit-eating bat), 289 nucleotides long. RefSeq lists it as uncharacterized. The record is from RefSeq and is a predicted model, not a curated record. Lineage: Eukaryota; Metazoa; Chordata; Mammalia; Chiroptera; Phyllostomidae. The transcript is spliced from 3 exons.
GCAGACACAGGUUUCUCUCCCUCCGACCUGAGCCUUGCUCUCAAGAGAGAGCGCCUGGAAUGAUUCUGCCUCAGCCUGCCUGUCCAGCCCUGAGGACUCCACCCAGGAACCGGGAAAUGUCAGAAGCCCCUCUGUCCCAUCUUCCCCAGGCAGCCUCAGCACGGGGACUAUACCUGCACACAGAGGGUGCUCAACCAAUAUCUGCUGAAGGAGUAAACUUGGAGCUCAGGAGGCUGCCUUCCUUUCUUUCCCAGAGCAAAGGCAGAUGACAAGAAUGCCGACACAUCAG